This 428-nucleotide ribosomal RNA is filed under the name uncultured bacterium. Its description in RNAcentral is "partial 16S ribosomal RNA". It matches the Rfam family "Bacterial small subunit ribosomal RNA", at positions 354 to 796 of the family's 1533-position model. The record is from RNAcentral.
GUAGGGAAUAUUGCGCAAUGGACGAAAGUCUGACGCAGCGACGCCGCGUGAGUGAUGAAGGCCUUAGGGUCGUAAAGCUCUGUUGAAUGGGAAGAAAAAAAUGACGGUACCAUUCGAGGAAGGACCGGCUAACUUCGUGCCAGCAGCCGCGGUAAUACGAGGGGUCCUAGCGUUGUUCGGAAUCAUUGGGCGUGAAGGGUGUGUAGGUGGCCAUGUAAGUCAGGUGUGAAAGCCCCGGGCUCAACCCGGGAAGUGCACUUGAUACUGCGUGGCUUGAGUACCGAAGAGGGUAGUGGAAUUCCAGGUGUAGUGGUGAAAUACGUAGAUAUCUGGAGGAACACCGGUGGCGAAGGCGGCUACCUGGUCGAGUACUGACACUGAGACACGAAAGCAUGGGGAUCAAACAGGAUUAGAAACCCGGGUAGUCC